AAUCAACGCUGGCGGCGUGCCUAACACAUGCAAGUCGAACGCGAAAGCCCUUUCGGGGGUAAGUAGAGUGGCGUCCGGGUGAGUAACACGUAGGUAAUCUGCCUUCGGGUGGGGAAGUAACCAGUCGAAAGAUUGGCUAAUACCGCAUAAUGCAGCGGCACCUAAUGGUGAUUAGUUGUUAAAGCGGGGGAGUCGUAAGACCUCGCGCCUGAAGAGGAG
RNAcentral lists this ribosomal RNA (219 nucleotides) under uncultured bacterium. RNAcentral describes it as "partial 16S ribosomal RNA". It matches the Rfam family "Bacterial small subunit ribosomal RNA", at positions 32 to 229 of the family's 1533-position model. The record is from RNAcentral.